RNAcentral lists this unclassified non-coding RNA (22 nucleotides) under Dictyostelium discoideum. Lineage: Eukaryota; Evosea; Eumycetozoa; Dictyosteliales; Dictyosteliaceae. The record is from RNAcentral.
AUGCGAUGACGGAUACGUUGAA